Molecule: ribosomal RNA, 488 nt
Filed under: uncultured bacterium
Lineage: Bacteria
Description: partial 16S ribosomal RNA
Rfam family: Bacterial small subunit ribosomal RNA
Source: RNAcentral
AUUGAACGCUGGCGGCAGGCCUAACACAUGCAAGUCGAGCGGGGUUUUCGGACCUAGCGGCGGACGGGUGAGUAAUGCGUAGGAAGCUGCCCGAUAGAGGGGGAUACCAGUUGGAAACGACUGUUAAUACCGCAUAAUGUCUACGGACCAAAGUGUGGGACCUUCGGGCCACAUGCUAUCGGAUGCGCCGACGUGGGAUUAGCUAGUUGGUGAGGUAAUGGCUCACCAAGGCGACGAUCUCUAGCUGGUUUGAGAGGAUGAUCAGCCACACUGGAACUGAGACACGGUCCGGACUCCUACGGGAGGCAGCAGUGGGGAAUAUUGGACAAUGGGCGCAAGCCUGAUCCAGCCAUGCCGCGUGUGUGAAGAAGGCCUUCGGGUUGUAAAGCACUUUCGGCGAGGAGGAAGGGUGGUGUGUUAAUAGCACAUCAUUUUGACGUUACUCGCAGAAGAAGCACCGGCUAACUCUGUGCCAGCCGCCGCCGUAA